Non-coding RNA from Durio zibethinus, 2359 nucleotides. The record is from RefSeq and is a predicted model, not a curated record. Lineage: Eukaryota; Viridiplantae; Streptophyta; Magnoliopsida; Malvales; Malvaceae.
AAAUGCCCUUUUUUUUUGGCCGGAUUGGGAUAGGAGGUUGGAAGACUGGUAGAAGGAAAAAUUGAUUCAUAAAUUAAACCACCAGAGUGUCAGAAGAUGCUAACACCUUUGUAUGAAAGCUUCAAAUCAUGUGGAAUAGAGUAAGCGAAGCUACCUAUUAAAUUGCUUUAACUCGUUUUAUGCUUUUAUUGUAUAUGAAAAACCAGUUCCUGUACUUCUGUUGUAGGCUUGUAUCAGGCUAUCCUACUUGCUUUCGAUAAAUGAACAUUUUAAAUUAUCCAAAACAAUAUAUAUAUAUAUAUAUAUAUAUAUAUAUAUAUAUAUAUACAUAUAAAUUGAUGGGAUGGCGGGACUAUUUGAUAAGCGUAGGGCAACCUUAAAAUUUGUUUGAUCUUUGGCUUUCAAAAUUUUUAAAGCAUGAAAAAUUACGAGUCAACAGGAUACAACUAGAUUCUUCUGGUGGAAGAUGAAGCCAAAGGAAGGAAUUGAGUGGUGGUUUGCAGAAAUUUCCAGAAUGCUAAAGUUCUUCAACAGGAUACAAUUAGAUUCUUCUCAAGUUUGGUGACUCCCUUUCCCAGUUCUAACCUUGGUGCCCUACUGCUGGAUGUUGAACUCUUUUUUGUUUAAGAACAUGACUUUAUAUUCAACAGUUUUCAUCAAAGAUUAAAGCCCAAAAAGCCCACCAUAGACCCAUUUUAGAUACGGGAUCCCUCGGCUUUCGACGCUGCCUGCAAGAGAUAACUUUGACCGAUGACAGCAAAAGUAAAUAAGCUGACCGAGGGCGACAUACACAAUCACAACAAACUUCCAUCUUACGAAAGCUUUCCCCGGCGCCUGCUGAAUAUAUACUGAAUCAGCGAGUGCCUUCCCCAAUCCCCGAGGGCCAGAGCAAAAAGGACAAACCCAUUUGAUUCUCCUUAGCAUUAGUCGGAGUAAAUCCUCCUAAUCCUUUCUUUCCCUAUCUCUUCCAAAAAGCCCAAAAAUAGGGUUUCGAAAACCUUAACUCUACCAUAGCCCCCAAAUCCGACCUCUUUUUCGUCGCUUUCUCCUUCAGACAGAUUAGGGAUUUUAAUUAAAAAUAUAUUUACAAAUCUCCUGUUCUUGUUUUUGUUCCUGAUUUCCAGCUACAAUGGCGGAGCACUUGGCCUCAAUCUUCGGUACGGAGAAGGACCGUGUUAAUUGUCCCUUCUAUUUCAAGAUUGGAGCAUGCCGGCAUGGGGAUAGGUGCUCACGGCUCCACAACCGGCCGACGAUCUCCCCAACCCUCUUGCUGUCGAACAUGUACCAGCGCCCGGAUAUGAUCACCCCUGGAGUGGAUGCCCAGGGCCAGCCCAUCGACCCCCGUAGGAUCCAGGAGCACUUCGAGGACUUCUACGAGGACAUCUUCGAGGAGCUAGGCAAGUUCGGUGAAAUCGAGAGCCUCAACGUCUGUGACAACCUUGCCGACCACAUGAUCGGAAACGUGUAUGUUCAGUUCAGGGAGGAGGACCAGGCAGCUGCCGCCCUCCAGGCACUUCAAGGAAGGUUCUACUCCGGUCGGCCUAUCAUUGCGGAUUUUUCCCCAGUCACUGAUUUCCGCGAAGCCACUUGUCGGCAAUUCGAGGAGAAUAACUGUAACCGUGGGGGUUACUGUAAUUUUAUGCAUGUCAAGGUAAUUGGGAGGGAGUUGAGAAGGAAGUUGUUUGGGAGGUACCGCAGGUUUAAAAGGAGUCGGAGUAGGAGCAGGAGCGCCAGUCCACGCCACAAGCGUGAUAGGGAGUUUAGGGACCGCGAUCGCGACCGUGACCGUGAUGAUCAUCGUGAUAGGAAUGGGCGAAGACCUGACAGGUCUGACCGUGACAGCGGUGGUAGGAGAAAGCAUGGGAGUCCUAGGCGAAGCAGAAGCCCUCCACCUGCGAGGGAAGGGAGUGAGGAGCGGAGAGCCAGGAUUGAACAAUGGAAUCGAGAGAGGGAAGAGAAGGUGUAAGAAAAGCUUAUUCGGUUAUGGUCUAUAUUUUCAUUUUUUCCCUUUUGGUAAUUAUUUCUAUUUCUAGGUUCAGAUCAUGUUUUUGUUAUGUUGCUGCAACUUGGAUUGAACGUAAGUCUUCACUUUGAGGGAUGAGUGGUACCAUUUUUAGCUGUUACAAUGAUCAUUUUCUCAUAGUGUCAGUUUUAAAGGGAGUACUUGUAUCUCUGUUGAAUAGUUUCCUUUACUUUUAGUCCAUGGUUAAAGCUUCAAGCUACUUUCUUCUCACCUUUAUCUCGGAUUACUAAGUUUGUAGGUCUGCUCUCAGCUCCUUGAUUUUUGUCAGAAUUACAGCCAGGUUAGUUAUCAAAUCAGACAUUCCAUUUCCCCUCUAGUUAGACAAAUGCAUUUCAG